CGAUGAAGCCCUUCGGGGUGGAUUAGUGGCGAACGGGUGAGUAACACGUGGGCAAUCUGCCCUGCACUCUGGGACAAGCCCUGGAAACGGGGUCUAAUACCGGAUAUGACUGUCCACCGCAUGGUGGAUGGUGUAAAGCUCCGGCGGUGCAGGAUGAGCCCGCGGCCUAUCAGCUUGUUGGUGAGGUAGUGGCUCACCAAGGCGACGACGGGUAGCCGGCCUGAGAGGGCGACCGGCCACACUGGGACUGAGACACGGCCCAGACUCCUACGGGAGGCAGCAGUGGGGAAUAUUGCACAAUGGGCGAAAGCCUGAUGCAGCGACGCCGCGUGAGGGAUGACGGCCUUCGGGUUGUAAACCUCUUUCAGCAGGGAAGAAGCGAAAGUGACGGUACCUGCAGAAGAAGCGCCGGCUAACUACGUGCCAGCAGCCGCGGUAAUACGUAGGGCGCAAGCGUUGUCCGGAAUUAUUGGGCGUAAAGAGCUCGUAGGCGGCUUGUCACGUCGGUUGUGAAAGCCCGGGGCUUAACCCCGGGUCUGCAGUCGAUACGGGCAGGCUAGAGUUCGGUAGGGGAGAUCGGAAUUCCUGGUGUAGCGGUGAAAUGCGCAGAUAUCAGGAGGAACACCGGUGGCGAAGGCGGAUCUCUGGGCCGAUACUGACGCUGAGGAGCGAAAGCGUGGGGAGCGAACAGGAUUAGAUACCCUGGUAGUCCACGCCGUAAACGGUGGGCACUAGGUGUGGGCAACAUUCCACGUUGUCCGUGCCGCAGCUAACGCAUUAAGUGCCCCGCCUGGGGAGUAC
This 801-nucleotide ribosomal RNA is filed under the name Streptomyces koyangensis. RNAcentral describes it as "bacterial SSU rRNA". It matches the Rfam family "Bacterial small subunit ribosomal RNA", at positions 67 to 883 of the family's 1533-position model. The record is from RNAcentral. Lineage: Bacteria; Bacillati; Actinomycetota; Actinomycetes; Kitasatosporales; Streptomycetaceae.